Taeniopygia guttata (zebra finch) is the source of this 1225-nucleotide non-coding RNA. The record is from RefSeq and is a predicted model, not a curated record. NCBI's taxonomy places the organism in Eukaryota, Metazoa, Chordata, Aves, Passeriformes, Estrildidae.
CCGCACGGGCGGAGCGGGGCGCGGCAGCCGCGCUCGGGCAUCGCCCCGGGGCCGCGGGGUCGCCGGUGCCGCGGCGGUGCCCGCGCCCGGGGAAGUUUUGAUUGCGGUCCCGCCGGUGAUGCUCGGGAAUGCGGCGGCGGGCGAGUGCUUUUGCAGGCAGGCGUGGGGAAGGAGCGCUGCUCUGCUCGGCUCCUUCUGCUGCCUCCGCUGCACCAUCCUCCCUACUAUUCUUAUAUAUACAUAUUUUUUAUUUCUUACGGUGCCGUAAAACUUGCUUGAAACUGGGCUUGACGAUAGGCUCAGUUGUCUGGGCCUAACCCCUUGGUAAGCUCACCUGUGUGGAAAACUCUGGUCUAUCCCUCAGGCCCUGAGGCAGCAGGGAACUUUCCGCAGAGAUGGUGACAGGCUGCUCGGAGCCCCCUGUGUCCCCCCCACCCUCUCCUCUGCCUCCUCCUUCCAGGCACACGGCGCACCGCUCCAGCUCCAAGAUACGUGCCUGCCCCCGGGGACGCGGAGUCUCCAGCACCUCCCGCCCCCUAUAGCCCUGCCGAAAUAAGGUGUGUUCCCUGCUCUCGGUGCGGAGAGGAAACAAAUUGCACAUGACAGAUGCUACUCACAUCACUUAGCGCAUUGCCGGGGAGCACCAGGAGGUGCUGCAUUAAGGGCAGCAGAAGAAGCUACCAAGUGCAAGAUGUUCAGACUCAUCUGUUGAUCAGGUGGCAAGGCCUCCUUCCAAGCACUCGCUAAGCAGUUUUGCAGAGCUCAGCUCAGCAGUGAGCAGCCCACAGCUUUGAGACAGCUGGGCCACCUUCACUGCUGGGAAACUGGGAAACUUGCUGCAAGAGGUCCCUGAGACAGCGAGAGGACAGUAAGAAAUGAUGGGGUCUCCCAUGAGAAGACCAGAGAUGUCUCAGCAAGGUCUAGAUGAAACCUCCUCACAGUUGAGAUCUGGAUGGAAUCUACUGCUUGGGUGGCUGUGCCUUGCUGUCACUGCCCUGCAAGACAUGGCAGGCUUCCCCCUCUACACAGGACUUGGUUAGAAAAAAGUCUUGUGAUGGAUAAAUGAACUUUUCACAAAUGCCUCAGCCUGAAAUGCACCCUGUAUUCCUGUCCUCAGAAAAUGUUUGGGAGUCUGAGUCUCGUGCAUUAACUGGAAAUUGCACCUGCUGACUUCAAAGAGAUGAAUUAUGGAAAAAAAAUAAAGUUUACUAGCAUUAAGUUGAAA